CAUUGAAACACCAAUUCCCAUAUGAUUACUGAAGUUAAGCAAAAUCGAGCCUGGUCAGUACUUAGAUGGGUAACCACUAUGGAAUAGCAGGUCCUGUAG
Non-coding RNA from Acanthosepion pharaonis, 99 nucleotides. Lineage: Eukaryota; Metazoa; Mollusca; Cephalopoda; Sepiida; Sepiidae. The record is from the annotation of a GenBank genome assembly.